RNAcentral lists this transfer RNA (74 nucleotides) under Acidimicrobiales bacterium. Its description in RNAcentral is "tRNA-Ala". It matches the Rfam family "tRNA". Rfam says of the family: Transfer RNA (tRNA) molecules are approximately 80 nucleotides in length. Their secondary structure includes four short double-helical elements and three loops (D, anti-codon, and T loops). Further hydrogen bonds mediate the characteristic L-shaped molecular structure. tRNAs have two regions of fundamental functional importance: the anti-codon, which is responsible for specific mRNA codon recognition, and the 3' end, to which the tRNAs corresponding amino acid is attached (by aminoacyl-tRNA synthetases). tRNAs cope with the degeneracy of the genetic code in two manners: having more than one tRNA (with a specific anti-codon) for a particular amino acid; and 'wobble' base-pairing, i.e. permitting non-standard base-pairing at the 3rd anti-codon position. Lineage: Bacteria; Bacillati; Actinomycetota; Acidimicrobiia; Acidimicrobiales. RNAcentral also lists the same sequence under 2 other names. The record is from RNAcentral.
GGGGGUGUAGCUCAGUUGGCUAGAGCGCGUCGGUCGCAUCGACGAGGCCAGGGGUUCGAUUCCCCUCACCUCCA